This 25157-nucleotide long non-coding RNA is filed under the name Triticum aestivum (bread wheat). RNAcentral describes it as "long non-coding RNA (TAES_LNC027248)". Lineage: Eukaryota; Viridiplantae; Streptophyta; Magnoliopsida; Poales; Poaceae. The record is from RNAcentral.
AUCAAAUAACAAGUGCAUCAUUUACCAUAACGUAUGAUCCAAAAUCCAUAAAGUAUUACAAACUGAGUAGCAAAUAGCUAACUUUAUUCAAUAAUAACAGUGGAAAGGUGGCAUAAUAAACGAUGAGUCCAUCAACGCCCACUAGCGAAAAAUGUUGAGUGAAGACUCGCAACCCUACUGUAUCUCACUAAUCAUCUGAAUAUCCUGCAACAUGAUAAGUUGCAGCCACAAGGGUCAAUACAUUGAAUGUAUUGGCAAAUCACACAAUAUGAUAAAGCAAACCUACAUCCACAAGCAAAGUAUGACAAACAAAACACUCAAAUUUGGUUUCAUGUAAAACUACCUUCACCUACCUCCACGACAUAGACAAGGUGCAAACAACACAGAUGAUAAAGAUCUUCAAGAUGUCUCAAGUGCGCUCAGUCCUGGCGCAUUCUCUAGGGACAAUAGAGCGCUCAGCUAGUGAUGCAUUCACGUGAGAAAAAUCCCCGACAACUCAAGUGCGCUUAGCCAUGGCGCAUUCUCUAGGGACAAUAGAGCGCUCAGUCAUUGACGCAUUCACCUGAGAAAAAGUCCCGAGCCUACAGCUGUAAAGACUCACCACUUCCAUGCAUCACUCGACACAUGCCCACGUCUACCAUCGCAAGUUGAUCACAGCAUCACAUAACACAGCUAACGCCAAAACAUGACAACACGAGAUACACAUAUCAGGCCAAACAUAUUUCAUAGCAUCAAACCACACAUGCAUAGUAGAAUAUAGGAUGAGCAAAAUCAAAAGUGCAAACUUGCCUUGAGCGGUGUUGAAGUACUCUAACGCUUAAUUCGGAUCUGCUUCACUCUCCGGACAAUCUAUACGAGAACGAAGGCCCCGAUAAAUAAAUUGUACUCACAUAACACCACAAUAAAGUCGACAUCAAGGAAUUCAAAUAAAAAUUUAAUUAGCAGAACAUAUCAGUAGGUAUCUAUUAUCUACAUGCUAGUAGGAUCACAAUGCAAAAAGAAUCAACUAAUUUAGAUCAGCGGUUUGAAAGAUGUGGCCUCCGAAAGUUUGAAUUCAAAUUUAAUCAAUAUUCUCCUGGUCACUACGAGUACACAGGAAAAAGAAUCGAUGAAUUUGGAGUUAUGGAUCUCAAGAUAUACCUAAAUGAAAAUUUGAUAUGAAAUCUACCCAAAAAUAUUGUGUCAAAACUGUGUUCAUGGAAGAACUGCCGUGGCUGCUGCGGAUGUGCCACGUGGCAGGUUUCUACUGCCUCCGAAGUGUUCGCUGCGAGGUCUAAAGGGCGAACGGCCACUAAAUAGUGCAUACCUAUUCGAAGAAAAAAAAACAGGACAUGAUAUAAUCUGGACCGUCAAAGAGAGAUCGGGCGGUUGACAAUUGCUCAUCGGAGACAGGGGCUGGGUGGCCGCCGGAGUUGAACAAGACAGACGCGGGCGGCACGGGAUCGAUGUUGGGGUCGUCUCUGGUGAUCUCCUCAAGAUUACAAGGUCACAAGGAGAAGCUGCAGAGAUAGGCGGUCUCGAACAUGUCGUCCGGGUCUUCGGAAAGAUCUGCUAGCAACGGCACAGUCCAGGAAGAGUUCGCGGCGGCGAUGUGCUUCUGGUCAGGGUCGAUGCGGUCGCUAUACUGCUCCCCUGCGUGAAGUAGAAGAUGAGGGAAAAUCAGGAGAUCAAAGCGCGAAUAAGAGGACCAAAAGGAGAAGCAGGAAACCUCCAGUGGCAUCUGAAUCAACUAGCGAAGACCUCCUGUGACGGCGAAACUCUGGUGAGAUCGCGACGACGCCCUAGGGCAUGGGUGACAGCGAUUUUGCCAAAAAUCGGGCGAGAUGGAGGUGGAGAUCUCAUAUAGGGUGGAUCCCGUGUAUGGGGCUCAAGAAUCAAUCGAAUCCAUCGAUUUCAUCUCGGUGGGGUUCGGUGAGCUACAGGAGACCGUGACGAACACGUGCUGCGAGGAAGAUGACAUGCGGGACCCGAAGUCAGCGGGAGAGAGAAGAAAAAGGAAAAAAACGAAAGGCAGCGGGGUGGGCUAUGUCCUGCGGCGAAAUGGGUCGCCGGCCUACUAGCGGCUGCUGCUGCGCUGCUGUUCAGUGCGCGCGCGGGCGAGGGUUAUCUGGACCGCUGUGCAGCCCGGCUGCACACAGUGCGACUGGGGUUUUUUUUAGAAAAAACUUUGCUACAGAAAGUAAAUAAAUCUAAACCAAUAGGAAAUUAAAUCCUAGAAAAACACCAGAACACACAUUAAAUCAUUACUGCUACUAUAUAAAACAGUGAACAUUUUUAACAACACAAAUGCAUUUUUGGAAAAUAAUUUUAUGCAAUACAAGCACAUAAAGAGCAUUAUAAUAACAACUAUAAAAUAAUUUUGAGUUUCUAAAAUUCCCAAAAUAGUUUCUGUAAACUCCAUAUAAUAUCAUUAACCUUUUCUAAAUAUAAUUUAUAGGGGAUAAGUCAUAUUAUCUCCACUCAAAAUAUUUGCCUUAAGUUGCAAUAACAAUUUGAACAAUCAGAAAAUUUCAAAUAUGCAUAGAAAAAUCAUGAUGAAAAAGAAUGAUCCUAUUAACAUACCAAAUUGGAAAAUUUGGGAUGUUACAAAUCUACCAUCCUUAAAAUGAAUCUCGUCCUCGAGAUUCGAAGAGGCUAGAAAGAAAAAACUAGGGUUGGUUUCUCCUUGAAUAUCCAUUGUUCGUCCGAGAGGGUGGAGUACUACCACCCUUAGAAUAAGAGUCAUUGGUUUUCAAAAAUCUUACUCCUUCGAGGAAAUCCUUCAAAUAUAAGGCCUACACCCAAUUGGGAUCUUGAAUCCUACAUCCAAAGGAGUGGUCUUACAGAUACUGAAUCUCCAUGGUUGAUAUAUCUUGUGCCAUUGCUAAACAUCUAUCGUGGCUCUCAUGGUCGUCAUCAAGCACAAUCCUCCAGGUUUCCUGCAGAAAUGGGUUUUGGUUCAUUCUCACCGUAAAUCCUACUGUUGGCAAUGGUUGCCUGUUACAAAGGUCAAAUGACAUACCAUUCUAAGGUUCUGGCUUAACAACGUCAUCUCUCUAGUAUAGGUAAGUCACUCCAGAUUUACCAUCCCACAUAGCAAAAGCGAAUAAUAAGAGUAAGUCGGCAUGGCGAUCAAUCCAUUCCGCACCCAAAUCAUUACCUUGUACUAUAUGGUUUAGUGAAUCUCGCGGUCUAACACUCUGGCAUCCUCACAAGCAUUGCAGAAUAUUUCUCUUGUUCGCGAACUAGGUUUAGAUAAUUCCAUUGGUUCUGCAUGCCAAACAAAAUCAACUAUCGUUCCUCUCAACUAUUAGGUUUACGUCAACUACUAUAAAACAUCUACUAUUUAUAGCUUCCUCUAGGGUUCUUCCUUCAGCAAGAUUGUGCUUGCUUCUUGUCAGAUCUUGGUGCAUGUGGUAAAACUUGAACUCAUCACUGGAUUGCAGCAUGUAUUAGGAUAUAGAAAGAAUAAAGACCUAAGGGGAAAACACUACCCAUAUGCUCAUGCUAGCAACAAAAACCAAACACAAAAUUCACACAAGUCACACCACGCAAGCAAGACCUAUAGGUAAGGUCAUAUCCACAAGAGAUAUGAUCUCGUCAUACUACCACAAAUCAUUUAUCGAACACAACUUAGUAAUGGUGGUCUGCCAACUAAAACUCUUCAAAAGACACUACUAUAAAUGCUGGGGUCAUCUACAUUGAAAAGAAAAGAUAAGAGUACAGGAGUGUGAAAUAUUGAUACGUCUCCAACGUAUCUAUAAUUUUUGAUUUUUCCAUGCUAUUAUAUUACCCCUUUUGGAUGUUUAUGGGCUUUAUUUUACACAUUUAUAUCAUUUUUGGGGCUAACCUACUAACCAGAGGCCCAGCCCGUAUUGUUGUUUUUUGCCUAUUUCAGUAUUUCAAAGAAAAGGAAUAUCAAACGGAGUCCAAACGGAAUGAAACCUUCGGGAGCGUGAUUUUUGGAACGAACAUGAUCCAUAGGACUUGGAGUGCAAGUCAAGAAGCAGUCGAGGCGGCCACGAGGGUGGAGGGUGCGCCCACCCCUACAGGGCGCGGCCCCCUAUCUCGUGGGCCCUCGGGAGGCCACCGACCUACUUCUUCCUCCUAUAUAUACCCACGUACCCCGAAAACAUCCGGGGAGCCAACGAAAAACAAUUUCCACCGUCGUAACCUUCUCUAUCCGCGAGAUCCCAUCUUGGAGCCUUCGUCGAUGCUCCGCCGGAGGGGGAAUCGACCACGGAGGGCUCCUACAUCAACACCAUAGCCCCUCUGAUGAGUUGUGAGUAGUUUACCACAGACCUUCGGGUCCAUAGUUAUUAGUUAGAUGGCUUCUUCUCUCUUUUUGGAUCUCAAUACCAUGUUCUCCCCCUCUCUUGUGGAGACCUGUUUGAUGUAACUCUUUUUGUGAUGUGUUUGUCGAGAUCCGAUGAAUUGUGGGUUUAUGAUCAAGUUUAUCUAUGAGAAAUAUUUGAAUCUCCUCUGAAUUCUUUUAUGUAUGAUUGAGUUAUCUUUGCAAGUCUCUUCGAAUUAUCAGUUUGGUUUGGCCUACUAGAUUGAUCUUUCUUGCAAUGGGAUAAGUGCUUAGCUUUGGCUUCAAUCUUGCGGUGUCCUUUCCCAGUGACAGUAGGGGCAGCAAGGCACGUAUUGUAUUGUUGCCAUCGAGGAUAAAAAGAUGGGGUUUAUAUCAUAUUGCAUGAGUUUAUCCCUCUAUAUCAUGGCAUCUUUCUUAAUGCGUUACUCUGUUCUUAUGAACUUAAUACUCUAGAUGCAUGCUGGAUAGCGGUCGAUGUGUGGAGUAAUAGUAGUAAAUGCAGGCAGGAGUCGGUCUACUUAUCGCGGACGUGAUGCCUAUAUACAUGAUCAUGCCUAGAUAAUCUCAUAAUUAUUCUCUUUUCUAUCAAUUACUCGACAGUAAUUUGUUCACCCACUGUAAUACUUAUGCUAUCUUGAGAGAAGCCACUAGUGAAACCUAUGGCCCCCAGGUCUAUCUUUUAUCAUAUAAGCUUGCAAUCUACUUUUAUUUGCAUCUUUACUUUUCGCAUCUAUAGUAUAAAAUACCAAAAAUAUAUUUAUCUUAUCAUACUAUCUCUAUCAGAUCUCACUUUUGCAAGUGGCCGUCAAGGGAUUGACAACCCCUUUAUUGAGUUGGUUGCGAGUUCUUUGUUUGUUUGUGUAGGUGCGUGGGACUUUUGAGGAGCCUCCUACUGGAUUGAUACCUUGGCUCUCAAAACCUGAGGGAAAUACUUACGCUACUAUUGUUGCAUCACCCUUUCCUCUUCAAGGAAAACCAACGCAAGCUCAAGACAUAGCAAGAAGGAUUUUUGGUGUCGUUGCCAGGGAGGUCUUUGCUCAAGUCAAGACAUACCAAGUACCCAUCACAAACUCAUCUCCCUCGCAUUUACUUUAUUUGCCAUUUGCCUCUCGUUUUCCUCUCCCCCACUUCACCCUUGCCAUUUUAUUCGCCCUCUCUUUCCCAAUCUUCUCCUCUCUCUCUCUCGCUUGUCUUUUUUUGUGCCUGUUUAUCCUUAUGGCUUUGCCUAAGAGUACCGACCUCCUUCUUAGAAGGUUGGAAGAGAUUGAAUCAAACAUUAGAAGUUUUAUGACUUUACAAUUUGAGCACAAUAAUUUCUUCAGAAAAGAGCUUAAAUAACAAAAAGGUUUUUUGGGGUUUAUGAACAAGGAGAUUGAUGAUAUGUCUAAAGAAUUUUAUGAUUUGAACUCUCAAAUUACCCGGCUUUAAAAUUCUAUAGCCCAAAUUUCUGAUAAGCAAGCUACCUUAGUCAAUAAGAUGGCUGCCAAACCAGAAAAAUUAGGUGAAAAUAAUGAUGAAGAUCUUAAAGUUAUUGAUGUGUCCCCUAUUAGAUCUUUGUUUUGCAAUAUGAAUCUUAAUAAUAAUGGGACUGGAGAUUAGUCAACUUUAGUUAGAAGGUGUCCCAAUAAUUUGGAGUUUUUAGAUCUUGAUGCUAAAUUUGGUAAAUGUGGGAUUGGAGAGGUCAUGACUUUAAAUAGUAUUGAACCCACUAUCUCGGAUUUCAAGGAAUUUGAUUAUGAUAAUUGUUCUUUAGAAGGUUGUAUUUCCUUGUUGCAAUCUGUUGUUAAUUCCCCUCAUGCUUAUAGUCAAAAUAAAGCUUUUACCAAACAUAUUGUUGAUGCCUUGAUGCAAUCUUAUGAUGAAAAACUUAAUUUGGAAGUUUCUAUACCUAGAAAACUUAAUGAUGAGUGGGAACCUACUAUAAAGAUUAAAAUUAAAGAUCAUGAGUGUUAUGCUUUGUGUGAUUUAGGUGCUAGUGUUUCCAUGAUUCCGAAAACUUUAUGUGAUAUUCUAGGUUUCCAUGAUCUUGAUGAUUGCUCUUUAAAUUUGCACCUUGCGGAUUCUACCAUUAAAAAGCUAAUGGGAAGGAUCAAUGAUAUUCUCAUUGUUGCAAAUAGAAAUUUGGUGCCCGUAGAUUCUAUCGUUCUUGAUAUAUAUUGCAAUCUUUCUUGCCAUAUUAUUCUUAGUAGACCUUUCCUUAGAACGAUUGGCGCGAUUAUUGAUAUGAAGGGAAUAUUAGAUUCCAAUUUCCAUUAAGGAAAGGCAUGGAGAAUUUUCCAAGAAAGAAAAUUAAAUUACCUUAUGAAUCUAUCAUGCGGGCUACUUAUGAAUUGAGUGCCAAAGAUGGCACUACUUAGAUCUAUCUUCGCUUUUAUGCCUAGCUAGGGGCGUUACACGAUAGCGCUAGUUGGGAGGCAACCCAAUUUUAUUUGUGUUUUUUGUUUUUGUUUAUGUUUAGUAAUAAGUUUUGCAUCUACCUUCUGUUUAGAUGUGUUUUUAUGUUUUAUUUAGUGUUUGUGCCAAGUAGAACCUAUAUGAUAACCUAUGAUGAUAGUUGAUUUGAUUCUGCUGAAAAACAAAAACUUUGCGCGCAUGAAAUUAGUUUUGUUAAAUCACAGAAAUGUGAUUUUGCAUUGAUUCUUUUUGAUGUAGAUCAAUAGACAAAUUUUCUAGGACUUCCUAUUUUGGUAGGAUUUUUAGAGUUCCAGAAGUUUGUGUUAGUUGCAGAUUUCUACAGACUGUUCUGUUUUUGACAGAUUCUGUUUUUCGUGUGUUGUUUGCUUAUUUUAAUGCAUCUAUGGAUAGUAUUAAGUGGUAUGAACCAUAGAGAACUUGAAAUGCAGUAGGUUUAACACCAAUAUAAAUAAAGGAUGAGUUCAUUACAGUACCUUAUGUGGUGGUUUUGUUUUCUUUCACUAACGGAGCUUAUGAGAUUUCCUGUUGAGUUUUGUGUUGUGAAGUUUUCAAGUUUUGGGUAAAGAUUUGAUGGACUAUGGAAUAAGGAGUGGCAAAAUCCUAAGCUUGGGGAUUCCCAUGGCACCCCAAGAUAUUCAAGAAUAGCCAAAAGCCUAAGCUUGGGGAUGCCCCCGGAAGGCAUCCCCUCUUUCAUCUUCGUUCAUCGGUAACUUUACUUGGAGCUAUAUUUUUAUUCGCCACAUGAUAUGUGUUUUGCUUGGAGCGUCGUGUAUGAUAUUAGUGUUUGCAUUUUAGUUUUCCACAAUCAUCCUUGCUGUACACACCUUUUGGGAGAAGCCCACUUGAUUGAAAUUUAUUAGAAUUCUCUAUGUGCUUCACUUAUAUCUUUUGAGCUAGAUAGUUUUUGCUCUAGUGCUUCACUUAUAUCUUUUAGAGCAUGGCGGUGGCUUGAUUUUGUAGAAAUUGUUAGGCUCUCAUGCUUCACUUAUAUUAUUUUGAGAGUCUCUUAGAACAGCAUGGUAUUUGCUAUGGUUAUAAAAUUGGUCCUAGAAUGGUAGGCAUCCAAGUUGGGUAUAAUAAAAACUAUCAUAGGAAGUGAAUUGGAUGCUAUGAUCAAUUUGAUACUUGCUAAUUGUUUUGAGAUAUGGAGGUAGUGAUAUUAAAGUCAUUCUAGUUGGGUGAUUAUGAAUUUAAAGAAUGCUUGUGUUGAAGUUAGCAAGUCCCGUAGCAUGCACGUAUGGUUAAAGUUGUGUAACAAAUUUGAAACAUGAAGUGUCCUUGGAUUGUGCAUCCUUAUGAGUGGCGGUCAGGGACGAGCGAUGGUCUUUUCCUACCAUUAUAUCCCUCUAGGAGCAUGCGCGUAGUGCUUGGUUUUUGAUGACUUCUAAAUUUUUGCAACAAGUAUAUGAGUUCUUUUGACUAAUGUUGAGUCCAUGGAUUAUACGCACUUUUACCUUUCCAUCAUUGCUAGCCUCUUCGGUACCGUGCAUUGCCCUUUCUCACCUUGAGAGUUGGUGCAAACUUCGCCGGUGCAUCCAAACCCCGUGAUAUGAUACGCUCUAUCACACAUAAACCUCCUUAUAUCUUCCUCAAAACAGCCACCAUACCUACCUAUUAUGGCAUUUCCAUAGCCAUUCCGAGAUAUAUUGCCAUGCAAUUUUCCGCCGUUCUGUUUAUCAUCAUGACACACAUUACUUUUGUCAUAUUCCCAUUGCAUGAUCAUGUAGUUAACAUCGUAUUUGUGGCAAAGCUACCAUGCAUAAUUUUUCAUACAUGUCACUCUUGAUUCAUUGGACCAUCCCGGUACACCGCCGGAGGCAUUCAUAUAGAGCCAUACCUUGUUCUAGUUUUGAGUUGUAAUUCAUAUGUUGUAAAUCAAUAAAAGUGUGAUGAUCAUCAUUAUUAGAGCAUUGUCCCCAAAAAUAAAAAAAAGGCCAAAAAAAAGAAAGGCCAAAGAAAAAAAGAAAAGAAAAAGAAAAUAAAAAAGGGGCAAUGUUACUAUCUCUUUUUCCACACUUGUGCUUCAAAGUAGCACCAUGUUCUUCAUAUAGCGAGUCUCAUAUAUUGUGCUUCAAAGUAGCACCAUGUUCUUCAUAUGGUGAGUCUCAUAUGUUGUCACUUUCAUAUACUAGUGGGAAUUUUUCAUUAUAGAACUUGGCUUGUAUAUUCCUACAAUGGGCUUCCUCAAAUGCCCUAGGUCUUCGUGAGAAAGCAAGUUGGAUGCACACCCACUAGCUUUCUUUUGUUGAGCUUUCAUUCAUUUAUAGCUCUAGUGCAUCCGUUGCAUGGCAAUCCCUACUCCUCAUGUUGACAUCAAUUGAUGGGCAUCUCCAUAUCCCGUUGAUUAUCCUCGUCAAUGUGAGACUUUCUCUUUUUUUUGUCUUCUCCACACAAUCCCCAUCAUCAUAUUCUAUUCCACCCAUAGUGCUAUAUCCAUGGCUCACUCUCAUGUAUUGCGUGAAAGUUGAAAAAGUUUGAGAUUAUUUAAGUACAAAACAAUUGCUUGGCUUGUCAUCGGGGGUGUAGAAUUUGGGAACAUUUUUGUGUGACAAAAAUGAAGCAUAGCCUAACUAUAUGAUUUUGUAGGGAUGAACUUUCUUUAGCCAUGUUAUUUUGAGAAGACAUGAUUGCUUUUAUUAGUAUGCUUGAAGUAUUACUAUUUCUUAUAUCAAUAUGAACUUUUGUUUUGAAUCAUUUUGAUCUGAACAUUCAUGCCACAAUAAAGAAAAUUACAUUGAGAAUUAUGCUAGGUAGCAUUCCAAAUCAAAAAUUAUGUUUUUAUCAUUUACCUACUCGAGGACGAGCAGGAAUUAAGCUUGGGGAUACUUGAUACGUCUCCAACGUAUCUAUAAUUUUUGAUUGUUCCAUGCUAUUAUAUUACCCCUUUUGGAUGUUUAUGGGCUUUAUUUACGCAUUUAUAUCAUUUUUGGGACUAACCUACUAACCGGAGGCCCAGCCUGUAUUGCUGUUUUUUUGCCUAUUUCAGUAUUUCGAAGAAAAGGAAUAUCAAACAGAGUCCAAACGGAAUGAAACCUUCGGGAGCGUGAUUUUUGGAACGAACGUGAUCCAGAGGACUUGGAGUGCAAGUCAAGAAGCAGCCGAGGCAGCCACGAGGGUGGAGGGCGCGCCCACCCCUACCGGGCGCGCCCCCUAUCUCGUGGGCCCUCGGGCGGCCACCGACCUACUUCUUCCUCCUAUAUAUACCCACGUACCCCGAAAACAUCCAGGGAGCCAACAAAAAACAAUUUCCACCAUCGUAACCUUCUGUAUCCGCGAGAUCCCAUCUUGGAGCCUUCGCCGGCGCUCCGCCGGAGGGGGAAUCGACCAUGGAGGGCUUCUACAUCAACACCAUAACUCCUCUGAUGAGUUGUGAGUAGUUUUCCACAGACCUUCGGGUCCAUAGUUAUUAGCUAGAUGGCUUCUUCUCUCUUUUUGGAUCUCAAUACCAUAUUCUCCCCCUCUCUUGUGGAGAUCUAUUUGAAGUAACUCUUUUUGCGGUGUGUUUGUCGAGAUCCGAUGAAUUGUGGGUUUAUGAUCAAGUUUAUCUAUGAGAAAUAUUUGAAUCUCCUCUGAAUUCUUUUAUGUAUGAUUGAGUUAUAUUUGCAAGUCUCUUCGAAUUAUCAGUUUGGUUUGGCCUACUAGAUUGAUCUUUCUUGUAAUGGGAGAAGUGCUUAGCUUUGGCUUCAAUCUUGCGGUGUCCUUUGCCAAUGACAGCAGGGGCAGCAAGGCACGUAUUGUAUUGUUGCCAUCGAGGAUAAAAAGAUGGGGUUUAUAUCAUAUUGCAUGAGUUUAUCCCUCUACAUCAUGUCAUCUUUCUUAAUGUGUUAUUCUGUUCUUAUGAACUUAAUACUCUAGAUGCAUGUUGGAUAGCGGUCGAUGUGUGGAGUAAUAGUAGUAGAUGCAGGCAGGAGUCGGUCCACUUGUCGCGGACGUGAUGCCUAUAUACAUGAUCAUGCCUAGAUAAUCUCAUAAUUAUUCUCUUUUCUAUCAAUUGCUCGACAGUAAUUUGUUCACCCACCAUAAUACUUAUGCUAUCUUGAGAGAAGCCACUAGUGAAACAUAUGGCCCCCGGGUCUAUCUUUUAUCAUAUAAGCUUUCAAUCUACUUUUAUUUGCAUCUUUACUUUUCGCAUCUAUAUUAUAAAAUACCAAAAAAAUAUUUAUCUUAUCAUACUAUCUCUAUCAGAUCUCACUUUCGCAAGUGGCCGUCAAGGGAUUGACAACCCCUUUAUUGCGUUGGUUGCAAGUUCUUUGUUUGUUUGUGUAGGUGCGUGGGACUUUUGAGGAGCCUCCUACUGGAUUGAUACCUUGGUUCUCAAAAACUGAGGGAAAUACUUACGCUACUAUUGCUGCAUCACCCUUUCCUCUUCAAGGAAAACACAGGCAAGCUCAAGACGUAGCAAAUAUCAAGUAUAGUAAGGUUGUGAAAUAAGUUUUUAGUCAUAUGGCUAGGGUCACGACCUACAGUCAACACACUACUCUGAUACCAUCUGUAACGACCUGCAUCUGAUAAGAUUCAAUGUCUCUGUGCUCACUAUGCUAGUCCCUAGAUCGACUCGCUAGCACACAUAGUACAUAUGAAUAUCAAAUAACCAGUGCAUCAUUUACCAUAACGUAUGAUCCAGAAAAAUGCUAACUUUAUUCAAUAAUAACAGCGGAAAGGUAGCAUAAUAAAUGAUGACUCUAUCAAUGCCCACUAGCGAAAAAUGUUGAGUGAAGACUCGCAACCCUACUGUAUCUCACUGAUCAUCUGAAUAUCCUACAACAUGAUAAGUUAAAGCCACAAGGGUCAAUACAUUGAAUGUAUUGGCAAAUCACACAAUAUGAUAAAGCAAACCUACAUCCACAAGAAAACUAUGACAAACAAAACAAUCAAGUUUGGUUUCACGUAAAACUACCUUCACCUACCUCCACGACAUAGGCAAGGUGCAAACAACACAGAUGAUAAAGAUCUUAAAGAUGUCUCAAGUGUGCUCAGUCCUGGCGCAUUCUCGAGGGACAAUGGAGCGCUCAGCCAGUGACGCAUUCAUGUGAGAAAAAGCCCCGACAACUCAAGUGCGCUCAGCCAUGGCGCAUUCUCUAGGGACAAUAGAGCGCUCAGCCAUUAACGCAUUCACCUGAGAAAAAGUCCCGAGCCUACAGCUAUAAAGACUCGCCACUUCCAUGCAUCACUCGAUACAUGCCCACGUCUACCAUCGCAAGUUGAUCACAGCAUCACAUAACACAGCUAACGCCAAAACACGACAACACGAGAUACACAUAUCAGAUGAAAGGAUCGAUAUGGUUGACUAGAAGGGGGGGUGAAUAGGCAACUAACAAUUUUUAAGCUUUUCUUUACCAAAUUAAACUUUGCAACAAAAUAGGUUGUCUAGAUGUGCAACUAGGUGAGCAACCUAUAUGAUGCAAUAACAACUAGCACACAAUUAAGCAAGGAUGUAACAACAAGUAGGCUUGCAAAAGUAAGGGCACGAAUUAACCAAGAGUGGAGCCGGUGGAGACGAGGAUGUGUUACCGGAGUUCCUUCCUUUUAAAGGGAAGUACGUCUCCGUGGGAGCGGUGUGGAGGCACAAUGCUCCCCAAGAAGCCACUAGGGCCACCGUAUUCUCCUCACGCCCUCACACAAUGCGAGAUGUCGUGAUUCCACUAUUGGUGCCCUUGAAGGCGGCGACCGAACCUUUACAAGCAAGGUUGGGGCAAACUCCACAACAACCGGAGGCUCCCAACAACAACAACAACAACAACAACACGAAGCUUCACCACAAUGGAGUAUGGCUUCGAGGUGACCUCAACCGUCUAGGGUGCUCAACACCCAAGAGUAACAAGAUCCGCAAGGGAUAAGUGGGGGGAAUCAAAUUUCUCUUGGUGGAAGUGUAGAUCUGAGCCUUCUCAACCAAUCCCGAGCAAAUCAACAAGUUUGAUUGGCUAGGGAGAGAGAUCGGGCGAAAAUGGAGCUUUGAGCAACAAUGGAGCUUUGGGGGAAAGAGGUAGGUCAACUAGGAGGAAGAAGACCCCUUUAUAUAGUGGGGGGACACAUCCAACCGUUACCCCACUGAGCAGCCCCGCACAGAGCGGUACUACCGCUAGGGAAGGGCGGUACUACCGCUCCCUAUCCAGCGGUACUACCGCGCUGAAGAGAAAGUCAGGCCACUGGCCCCAGAGCGGUACUACCGCGGGAGUAGAGUGGUACUACCGCUCAGAGCGGUACUACCGCUUCUACUGCCGCUACUAAUGCCGCAAAACCCGACACGAGAAAACACUGUCUCGAAUCGAGGCGGCAGUAGGCGCGGUACUACGGCCGAAGCCCGCGAGCGGUACUACCGCUCUAUGGAGCGGUACUACUGCUUAGAGAGGUACUACCGCUUCGUGGAGCGGUACUACCGCUGGGGGGCUUCGGCGGUACUACCGCUGUAGACCGCGGUACUACCGCUGGCACAGGGCGAAGCAGGUACAGAAGAGAGGUGUAGCUCCAAAGAUGCGAAAGGAAGACGACGGGUGUGAUAAGGAUGUGUACGUGUUGAUUCCACCCUAGUCUUACCAAAGCGGAUCCCCUCUUAAUAGUACGGUGACUCCUACAAAACUAGUCCACCAACAACGAAAUGCAGGAGCUACACCGUCUUGAAUAAAAACACCAAGGGGAGGAAAUCGUCUCGUGCCAAUGGAUGAUUCUCUGAAAGAACUUAACGCACACGAUUAGUCCGCAAAAGCAUUGUCAUCAAUCACCAAAACCACUAUGGGAUAAAUAAGCCCUUACAAUCUCCCCCUUUUUGGUGGAUUGAUGACAAUACGGGAUUUGCAUAAACAAGAUAUAGAGUACGCAUACAAACCCCACGAUCCUAACAUGUAGAUGGGCUCCCCCUAGAUGUGUGCUAUUUCGAUAAGUGCUUUGGACUGCACAGCACACAUAAUAGGAUCAGAGCUCCCCCUACAUUUUAGAGACCAACAAUCUAAGCAUGGUGUAGGAGAGCAGCAUAGAUGAUAUAACAAGAGAAGCACGCAACUCAUGAGCUAGAUAGACAUAGAUAAUGAUACUGAAAGGUAAGGUAGCAUAUGUCUCACACCAUAUGAUUCGAACUUAAGUCUCACUCGAACUUAGGACUCACAGACAAACCAACCAAAGCAAAAGCGAGGAAAACACGAACAAGACACAACCACGAACAAGACACGAAGACACAACUCGCAAAUCCCUAAACUCUCUCCCCCUUUGGCACCGAGACACCAAAAAGGAGAGGGAGUGCUGCUACCGCUCCAGGUGAGAGCAAAAGAGGGACACACGCAUCAGAUCUCAGAGGGGUCAUCAGCGCCACCAUCGUCAGCCGGGAAGUGCUCAGCAUCAGAAUCAGUCCAAGGGCAGUGCUGCUGAAUCCACUCCUCCUCCUCGGUGAGCUGAUCCUCAGAGCCACUAAUCACAAUAGCACCCAUCUGACGCAUGAGCUCCUUGUGGCGACCGCGGGCCUUCUUCUCAGCCGCGUGAGCCAUGUACUGACCGUGAGACUCCAUGCAGAAGAGCUUCUUUACCUUGGCCUUGAGCUUCUUGGCCCAAGAUGGCUCUGUCCCAGAGGGCACGUAGUCAUCAUCCUCAUCCUCAGCCUCAGCACCAAACUCCUCCUCAGUCUCCAUGGCAGCAGCAGAUGACGGAACACCAGUCCUAGGGGCCUAAGUGCCCCAGUUAUCCUUCUUCCUCAGACGCUUGACAUAGUGAGAGACCAAAUCGCCAAUCUCCAGUGCCGCCUUGGGAUAGACACGAUCCCAGGCCUUCUCAAUGAGCAGCAUAAUGAACAGACCAUAGAUCGGGAUCUUGCGCUCAGAGAUAGCAGAAACCAAAUCAGCCCACAUAACAUGAGAGACAUCCAACGACUCCCUGGUGGGAUUGUCCUUCUCACGCUGGCAGAAAAGAAGCAUGUCCACGAGAUAAGAAUGAACCUGGUCCAGAUUCCCAAUGCGAGGGAAAAGAGUCUCUCUGAAGAUGCGGUGCAGGAUAUCCAGAAAGGCAGGCAUCUCAUAGGUUUCCUUGUGUGUCUCAGAGUUGAUCUUCAGAGUGCAGUAUGGCCAGAGAGCUUGCUUGUGAGUGCAAUGGGCGCGGGCGUGGGGGCGAAAGCCAACCGGAGACUCAAAACCUAGAUCUUCCACCCCAAGCAACUCCAUGAAAGCUUUCCACGUGACAGAAAGCAACUUGCCAUUUGUCAUCCAAGUCAGUGUCCUGUCCACAUCAGUCCCUAGGUGAACCGUGGCAUAGAAUUGGGCCACAAUAUCAGCAUCAUAGUACUUGUUGAAUUGCAUGAUCCUGAGAAUGUUCAGUUGAGUGCACAUCUGAAGUGCUUCACCAAAGUAGUCGGGGUCUCUCUCCAUAUGCGCGGUAUCGAUGGAGUGCACGUUGACAUAGAGAUUCUUCUUGGCUUUGAGAACAUCAAAGAAGAUGGCAAACUGAAAUCUGUUCCAGAACGGACGGUUGACCAAAGUGGGAUCUUGGUCGUUCUCAUACGGGUUGCGGCGGCGCCUUGCCCAGAACUCUUUGGGAGGCAUUUCAGGCACGGUUUUGGUUGCCUUUGGCUUGACCCCAGCUUUCUUCGGGAGUUGAGGUGGAGGAGGAGGUGGAGCACUUGACGAUCCUCCGGCAGGCUCGGUGGUGCGGUAGCGCUUGGACGAGGCACGUCCGAGAUUGACACGACGAGCCUGAGGCUCAGGGACCUCAUCACCUGGAACCACACACAAGAACACGCAAACAACCAGAAAACACGAGCAAAAGACACCAAACACGAGCAAAAAGAUUAAUGAAAAGUAGAAGUAGAAUGGAAUCUGGUAGAGGGCGGUAGUACCGUGACCCUUGGGCGGUAGUGCCGCUCCAAGCGGUAGUACCGCUCUAGAGAGCGGUAGUUCCGCUCACAGCGGUAGUACCGCUCGGGGAGAGCGGUAGUACCGCUUGAGGCGGGGAAACAACAGUUUCCUACUACCGUGAUCAGAUCCGGUACUUCCGUCCUACCAAAUUCAAAAAUACUCCAACCAAACACUAAUCCACACGGCCUAGAAGCAAUCUCCAACCUACUCAAGCCUAGAUUUGGCCAAAAAUCUAAAGAUGCAACCGCUACUGCCCUAAGAUGCUAGAUUGGAAACCUAGACAAAAAUAACAAGAGAACGGGGGCAAUACCAGCAUCCAUGGCAAGAGGACGAGGUGGGGAUCGACUCCACCGAAGGGAAUGGAGAGGGACGGCCCGGAGAGGGAGAUCCGCCGGAGCCCUCCCGCGGCGCCGGUUGUUGGAGAGAGAGAGGAACAGGCGAGGGGCGUGCGAAUGGGUAUGGGGGAGAAGAAACUCCCCCUGCCCCGAUAUAACCCCACCCGCGCCUCUCAGCGGUAGUACCGCGCUGGAGGGCGGUAGUACCGCUUGGAGCAGUAGUACCGCUCGCCAGCGGCGGUAGUACCGCCAGCAACCAAAAACAAACUUCUAGGCAAACAAAAGGGAAAAACACACCGAGAAGAACGGGAAGGCAACGACAAGAGAAAGACCAACAAGACAACACACACGAAACACGAACCGGAACCCACUCCUUCAAAGCAAACAACAACAAAAAGAGCGAGCUCAGGCCUCUCUCAAGAGAGGGUGGUGGCCGGAGCCACCUAUGUUUGAGUCAAUUGGUAUGGCACCGCGAAGAAUUAUCCUUGGGUCCAUGACCAAAACUCGUCUUUGAAGCACAAGCACCAUCAACAAUGGCUAAAGUGAAAGAGUUGAUCGUUUUAUGCAUAAUGGGGGGAGGGAGAGUUCAUUGAGAGAACACCACUCCCCCUAUGUCCAUGCCUACACCUAAACUAGACAACACAUUGAGUGUGGUGGGGGGUGCACGGGUUCAAGUCACAUUGCUCAAAUCAAUGAUAUUUAGCUCAUGCCUUAACUCGCGAAAUCUUGCUUCAUCCAAGGGCUUCGUGAAAAUAUCUGCAAGGUUAUCAUGAGUGUUGACAUACUUGAGCUUGAUCUCCCCUCGCCUAAUGUGAUCCCGGAUGAAGUGAUACCGAAUCUCAAUGUGCUUCGUCUUGAAGUGUUGCACCGGGUUGAGAGAAAUCUUGAUGGCACUUUCAUUAUCACACCAAAGAGGCACUUUGUCACAAUUGACACCGUACUCCUUUAAAGUUUGCCUCAUCCAUAGGAGUUGAGCACAACAACUACCGGCCGCCACAUACUCCGCUUCGGUGGACGAGAGAGACACACAACUUUGCUUUUUGGAAGACCAACUUACCAAAGAGCAACCAAGAAAUUGGCAUCCUCCGGAAGUGGACUUCCUAUCCACUUUGUCUCCCGCCCAAUCGGAAUCCGUGAAGCCUUCAAGCUUGAAGUUUGCUCCUCUUGGGUACCAUAGGCCAAAGUUUGGGGUAUGAGCCAAAUAUCGAAAGAUUCGCUUGACCGCCACAAAGUGACUUUCCUUUGGUUCAGCUUGAAAACGUGCACACAUCCCCACACUCAACAUGAUAUCCGGUCUAGAUGCACAAAGGUAAAGCAAGGAGCCAAUCAUGGAGUGAUAUACCUUUUGAUCCACCGCUUUACCAUUGGGAUCGAUGUCAAGUUGGCACUUGGUAGGCAUUGGUGUAGUAGCCGGUUUGACGUCACUUAGCUUGAAUCUUUUAAGCAUGUCUUGAGUGUAUUUGGCUUGGUUAAUGAAGGUUCCUUCUCUUCUUUGUUUGAUGUCAAAACCAAGGAAAAACUUCAACUCUCCCAUCGAAGACAUCUUGAACUUGGAGGUCAUGAGUGCGGCAAAUUCCUCAUUGAAAGCUUUGUUAGGAGACCCAAAGAUAAUGUCAUCAACAUAUAGUUGGCAUACAAACAACUCCCCUUUGACCUUCUUAGUAAAAAGAGUGGGAUCGAUUUGUCCUACUUCAAAGCCACGAUCUUGUAGCAACUCGAUAAGGUGGUCAUACCACGCACGUGGGGCUUGUUUAAGGACAUAGAGUGCCUUAUUGAGUUGAUACACAUGAUUCGGGAAGUAGGGGUCCUCGAACCCGGGGGGUUGCUUGACAUAGACCAACUCAUUAAUGGGACCAUUAAGAAAAGCACUUUUCACAUCCAUUUGUUGCAACUUAAAGUUGUGAUGGGAAGCAUAUGCAAUCAACAAACGAAUGGAUUCAAGAUGAGCAACGGGAGCAAAGGUUUCACCGUAGUCGAUACCCUCGACUUGGGAGUAGCCUUGUGCUACCAAUCUUGCCUUGUUGCGAAUGAUGUUCCCAUGAGCAUCUUGCUUGUUCUUGAAGAUCCACUUUGUUCCAAUGACAUUGUGGUUCCCCGAUGGCCUUGGCACCAAUCUCCAAACUUUGUUGUACUCGAAGUUGUUGAGUUCUUCAUGCAUGGCAUUGAGCCAAUCCGAGUCUUCGAGCGCCUCAUAUACCUUUUGGGGUUCAACAUAAGAGACAAACGCGUGAUGUUCACAAUAGUUUGCUAAUUGUCUACGAGUGCUUACCCCCUUUCUUAGGCUUCCAAAUACAUUUUCCAUGAGAUGGCCUUGAGUGGUGAGCUUGGAAGCAAUCUUUGCGGCGCGACGCUCUAAUUCCUCCCCGGAUGUGGAGGGAGGGUUGACUUGAUCAUCUUGAGCGCCGUCUUGAGCUUGUUCUUGAUCUUGGGCUUGUCCUUGAGCUUGAGUUUGCUCUUGAUCUUGAACUUGCUCGAGGGGGAGAACUUGACCUUGGGCAUCAUUUAGAGGUUCACCACCAUCUUGAGAUUGAUCUUGCCCUUGGUCUUGUUCACAAGGUUGAGGGCCUUCACUUUGUUCUUCGGAAGCGUGUGGGUCUUGAUGAGGUGAUGGCUCUACUUGAGUAGAGCAUUGUCCUUCUCCUUCGGCCACAAGGGGUUCCUCAAUGGGUAGGAUUUGACCAAUACCCAUUCUUCUUAUGGCUUGGGGAGGAAUUUCAUCACCUACAUCACAAGUACCACUUUGCUCCACUUGGGAGCCAUUAUUUUCGUCAAACUCCACGUUACACGUUUCCUCAAUGAGUCCGUUGGACUUGUUGAGAACACGGUAAGCAUGAGAGUUUGUAGCAUAACCAACAAAUAUGCCCUCAUGAGCUCUAGCUUCAAAUUUAGACAAACGAACACCUUUCUUGAGAAUGAAACACUUACACCCGAACACCCGGAAGUACUUGAGAUUGGGCUUGUUCCCGGUGAGUAUCUCAUACGGAGUCUUGUUCAAGCCUUUGCGGAGAUAGAGCCGAUUGGAUGCAUGACAAGCUGUGUUGAUGGCUUCGGCCCAGAAGUUGUAUGGAGACUUGAACUCCGCCACUCCGCCAUCAUGGUCCUUGCCGCAUCCAUCAAUGUCCGGUUCUUCCUCUCCGCAACACCAUUUUGUUGAGGGGUAUAUGGUGCGGAAUAUUGGUGCUUGAUCCCUUCAUCACUAAGAAACUCAUCCAAGGUGUAGUUCUUGAACUCGGUGCCGUUGUCACUUCUUAUUGUCAAGAUCUUUGCAUUGUGUUGACGUUGACCUUCAUUUGCAAAGUCGAUGACGGUUUGUUGAGUCUCACUCUUCCUCUUGAAGAAGUAUACCCAAGUGUAUCUUGAAUAAUCAUCCACAAUCACCAAGCAAUACUUUCUCCCUCCAAGACUAUCAAAAGAUGGAGGCCUGAAGAGAUCCAUGUGAAGGAGCUCCAAGGGUCUCUUCGAGUAGAUGAUGGUUGAAGGAGGGUGAGCCUUUUCAUGAAGCUUUCCUUCGAUACAAGCACUGCAAGCAUGAUCUUUGGCAAAACUAACAUUUGUUAGUCCACGAACAUGGUCCCCCUUGAGAAGACUUUGCAAAGAUCUCAUAUUGACGUGGGCUAAACGGCGAUGCCAAAGCCAUCCCACAUCUCAACUUUAGCCAUUAGGCAUGUCGCGGUCUUAGUGGGUUGCUCUGAGAAGUUAACCACAUAGAGACCAUUCUCGACAUGCCCAACAAAGGCUACUUUAAUAGUCUUGCUCCACAAGAGGGCCACGGUAUCAAUAUCAAAGAAGGUGGCAAAACCCAUGAGUGCGAGUUGACGAACGGAAAGUAAAUUGAACGCAAGGGACUCAACAAGCAUGACUUUCUCGAUCGUUAGAUCAUGAGAAAUGACAACCUUGCCAAGACCCAAUACCUUAGAAUGUGAGGCAUCACCCCAUUCGACAUUGGUGGGCAUAGAUGGGAUAUUGUGCACGUCCACCACCAAGUCCUUGCUCCCGGUCAUAUGAUUUGUUGCUCCACUGUCGAGCAACCAUGAUCCCCCACCGGAAGCAAACACCUACAAGAGAUCAAUGCUUGGUUUUAGGUACCCAUUGAGUAAUGGGUCCUUUGAUGUUAGUAACAAGGGUCUUAGGAACCCAAAUAGACCAUUCAAUGUACUCAUAAGGAGAACCAACAAAUUUAGCAUAAACAUGUCCAUCACUAGCACGGCACAACACAUAAGAGGGGUUAAAGUCGCCGGCUUUGUUGGGAGAGAUGGCGUUGCGCUCUUUGGCUUCACCGCUCUUCCCAUUGUUCUUCUUCUCCUUAGGAGCACCUUCUCCCUCCUUUACAAAGGUUUGCGUGAGCGUAGGAGGUCGAUUGGUCUUGCUCUUCUUUUCCUUGUUCUUCUUCUUGUUCUUGGACUUGGGUGCGAACCCAACUCCCUCCUUUCCCACAACUUCCUUUUGAUUGCUCAAAAGAUCAUUUAGGUUCUUCUCGCCUUGUAUGCAUGACACAAGACCUUUCUCGAGUUGUACCUUCAACUUGGCAUUUUCCUCCACAAGAUGCACAUGCUCACAACAUGGGUUAGUAGCAUUUGCAUUAUCAAUUAAGACCAUGUGAGGAAAUGUGGCCUUUUCCUUAGUUAGCUUAACUUGGAGUUGAGCAUGAGACUCCUUGAGGGUGGCAUGAGCGCUUUUGAAGACCUUGUGGGCCUUGUCAAGUACAUCAAACUCCUCCGUGAGUCUAACAUGAUCAACCCCAAGUUUAGCCUUCUCGGAAGCUAGAACACGAGACACAACAAGAGCAUGAUCAAGAUCUUUAUUUAAUUUAGCGCGACCAUCGUUGUGUGACUCCUCAAGAGCCAAAUGAUGCUCACGCUCUUCCUCAAGAGCAUUAGAGAGAUCCGAUAUCUCAUCGGCAUAGUCACGACUAUGACUUUCCAUCUUAGUGAUGGUUUCUUCAUGAGCCUCGAUCAUGUCAUUGGCUUCACCAAGUUGUUCCAAGAGAGCAACGAUAUGCUUCUUGGAUUUGCCCUUGAGCUUACUCAUGAAGGACUCAAAUUCAUUGAUCUCCUCAUUAGACUCUUUACCAUUAUCAAAGUCAUCCGUUGAAGGAGGGUUAGGAAUAAUGGUGGUUUUGAUGUUGGGGGUUACCUUGUUGGUGGCCUUAGCCAUGAGGCACUUGGCGGUGAUGUUCUCGUUAGGUGCAACGAAUAGAGACACCCGAGGAGUUGAGACAAUGGGAACGGAUGCCAUGGCCAUUGUUUCACCAUCUUCAUCAUCAUUGUCAUCCUCACGGUAUUCUUCUUGAACCACCAACCCGCGAGAGGGAGUCUUCUUGGUGAAGUUGUUCUUGUUGGGGAAGGACUUGGCUUUGUCUUUUCGAAUGAACUUGCCACCAUUGUCUUCCCGCUUCUCGUAUGGACAAUCCGCAACGAAGUGACUAACAUUGCCAUAGUUGAAACAAGUUCUAACUCGUUGCUUCCCUUUGAGGCCACUUGAGUUGUUCUUGUUGAAGUUGGGUCUUGUAGUCUUCUUACUCCAAAACUGUCUUGAGGCAAGAGCCAUGUGCUCAUGAUAAUCAUACUUUGUAUCCUCGGGGUUGCUCUCCUCAUCUUCCUCUUCUUCUUCUUCUUCCACACUAACCUUGGCCCUCAAGGCAAGAUUGGGCUUCUUUGCCCUUUGGGAACGGAGCACCGCAUUGUCGGCGGUCUUAUCCAAGAUGUUCAUUGCAAUGAACUCAUCCAACACUUCACCAGAGGUCAUGGAGUGGAAGUCCGGUCUUUGGCGGAUGACGGAGGACAUGGCCUUGUUGUAGGGCAUCAUGGCCUUGAGGAACUUGCGCUUGAUCCAAUUGUCGUCCGUGUCUUUACUCCCAUGAUCUCGGAGUGCGACCGCAAGUUUGUUCACUCUUCGAAAGAGCUCACGAGGUUCUUCAUCCUCUUUCAUUGCAAACUCAUCGGCUUCAUCUUGCACCACUUCAUAGUUGGAGCGUUGAAUGCUAGCACUUCCUCUAUACAUACGCUCGACACACUUCCAUGCUUCUUUAGCCAUGACAUAAGGUCGAAGAUGAGGGAGAUCUUCGGGAAGGAUAGCAUCUUGGAUGAUGAAGAGAGCACUCUCAUUGAAUUGGUUGUCCACUUCUUCUCGAGGGGUGAAGUUGCUUGGAUCAUGAGGAUAGAAACCUUCUUCAAUAAUUCUCCAAAGGUUAGUAUUCACAUGUUUUAAAUGACGCUUGAAGCGAUAGACCCAAGAAUCAAAAUCUUCAUUUUUCACAUAUUUAGGAGGAGGACCGGCAUGAUUCAAAUGCGUAGAGGGGAUCGGUCCUUCAUACACCGGGGGUUCCACAUGGGCAAAGAUGCCGGUGCCAUUUCUACCACUAGUAGACGGACUCUUUUCACUAUUAGCUUCCCCCUUGUCGGGGUUAGCAUCCGUCACCUUGUUAGUGGGAUCAGCCACUUUCAUCGGCAAGGUAGAUAGUUUGAGUCCCUCUAGGAAUUCAGUAAACAUGCUUUUAACCUCGGCCAUCAUGGAGGUUUUCAAUGUGUCUAAAGCCACAUUGAAUUCCUCAUCAGAGACCGAGGUUCCCCCUUCGGCCGAAGACGAGAUGGGAUUCACACCGGAGUGUUCCUCCGCACCGUCGUUGACGUCAACCAUACUCUUCGGACGACAAAGUCCUUAAUAAAGAGAUGAGGCUCUGAUACUAAUUGAAAGGAUCGAUAUGGUUGACUAGAGGGGGGGUGAAUAGGCAACUAACAAUUUUUAAGCUUUUCUUUACCAAAUUAAACUUUGCAACAAAAUAGGUUGUCUAGAUGUGCAACUAGGUGAGCAACCUAUAUGAUGCAAUAACAACUAGCACACAAUCAAGCAAGGAUGUAACAACAAGUAGGCUUGCAAAAGUAAGGGCACGAAUUAACCAAGAGUGGAGCCGGUGGAGACGAGGAUGUGUUACCGGAGUUCCUUCCUUUUAAAGGGAAGUACGUCUCCGUGGGAGCGGUGUGGAGGCACAAUGCUCCCCAAGAAGCCACUAGGGCCACCGUAUUCUCCUCACGCCCUCACACAAUGCGAGAUGCCGUGAUUCCACUAUUGGUGCCCUUGAAGGCGGCGACCGGACCUUUACAAGCAAGGUUGGGGCAAACUCCACAACAACCGAAGGCUCCCAACAACAACAACAACACCACGAAGCUUCACCACAAUGGAGUAUGGCUUCGAGGUGACCUCAACCGUCUAGGGUGCUCAACACCCAAGAGUAACAAGAUCCGCAAGGGAUAAGUGGGGGGAAUCAAAUUUCUCUUGGUGGAAGUGUAGAUCUGAGCCUUCUCAACCAAUCCCGAGCAAAUCAACAAGUUUGAUUGGCUAGGGAGAGAGAUCGGGCGAAAAUGGAGCUUUGAGCAACAAUGGAGCUUUGGGGAAAAGACGUAGGUCAACUGGAGGAAGAAGACCCCUUUAUAUAGUGGGGGACACAUCCAACCGCUACCCCACUGAGCAGCCCCGCACAGAGCGGUACUACCGCUAGGGAAGGGCGAUACUACCGCUGAGGGCGGUACUACCGCUCCCUAUCCAGCGGUACUACCGCGCUGAAGAGAAAGUCAGGCCACUGGCCCCAGAGCGGUACUACCGCGGGAGUAGAGCGGUACUACCGCUCAGAGCGGUACUACCGCUUCUACUGCCGCUACUAGUGCCGCAAAACCCGACACGAGAAAACACCGUCUCGAAUCGAGGCAGCAGUAGGCGCGGUACUACGCGGUACUAGGGCCGAAGCCCGUGAGCGGUACUACCGCUCUGCGGAGCGGUACUACCGCUUAGAGCGGUACUACCGCUUCGUGAAGCGGUACUACCGCUGGGGGGCUUCGGCGGUACUACCGCUGGCACAGGGCGAAUCAGGUACGGAAGAGAGGUGCAGCUCCAAAGAUGCGAAAGGAAGACGACGGGUGUGAUAAGGAUGUGUACGUGUUGAUUCCACCCUAGUCUUACCAAAGCGGAUCCCCUCUUAAUAGUACGGUGACUCCUACGAAACUAGUCCACCAACAACGAAAUGCAGGAGCUACACCGUCUUGAAUAAAAACACCGAGGGGAGGAAAUCGUCUCGUGCCAAUGGAUGAUUCUUGAAAAAACUUAACGCACACGAUUAGUCCGCAAAAGCAUUGUCAUCAAUCACCAAAACCACUAUGGGAUAAAUAAGCCCUUACAUCAGGCCAAACAUAUUUCAUAGCAUCAAACCACACAUGCAUAGUAGAAUAUAGGAUGAGCAAAAUCAAAAGUGCAAACUUGCCUUGAGCGGUGUUGAAGUACUCUAACGCUUAAUUCGGAUCUGCUUCACUCUCCGGACAAUCUAUACGAGAACGAAGGCCCCGAUAAAUAAAUUGUACUCACAUAACACCACAAUAAAGUCGACAUCAAGGAAUUCAAAUAAAAAUUUAAUUAGCAGAACAUAUCAGUAGGUAUCUAUUAUCUACAUGCUAGUAGGAUCACAAUGCAAAAAGAAUCAACUAAUUUAGAUCAGCGGUUUGAAAGAUGUGGCCUCCGAAAGUUUGAAUUCAAAUUUAAUCAAUAUUCUCCUGGUCACUACGAGUACACAGGAAAAAGAAUCGAUGAAUUUGGAGUUAUGGAUCUCAAGAUAUACCUAAAUGAAAAUUUGAUAUGAAAUCUACCCAAAAAUAUUGUGUCAAAACUGUGUUCAUGGAAGAACUGCCGUGGCUGCUGCGGAUGUGCCACGUGGCAGGUUUCUACUGCCUCCGAAGUGUUCGCUGCGAGGUCUAAAGGGCGAACGGCCACUAAAUAGUGCAUACCUAUUCGAAGAAAAAAAACAGGACAUGAUAUAAUCUGGACCGUCAAAGAGAGAUCGGGCGGUUGACAAUUGCUCAUCGGAGACAGGGGCUGGGUGGCCGCCGGAGUUGAACAAGACAGACGCGGGCGGCACGGGAUCGAUGUUGGGGUCGUCUCUGGUGAUCUCCUCAAGAUUACAAGGUCACAAGGAGAAGCUGCGGAGAUAGGCGGUCUCGAACAUGUCGUCCGGGUCUUCGGAAAGAUCUGCUAGCAACGGCACAGUCCAGGAAGAGUUCGCGGCGGCGAUGUGCUUCUGGUCAGGGUCGAUGCGGUCGCUAUACUGCUCCCCUGCGUGAAGUAGAAGAUGAGGGAAAAUCAGGAGAUCAAAGCGCGAAUAAGAGGACCAAAAGGAGAAGCAGGAAACCUCCAGUGGCAUCUGAAUCAACUAGCGAAGACCUCCUGUGACGGCGAAACUCUGGUGAGAUCGCGACGACGCCCUAGGGCAUGGGUGACAGCGAUUUUGCCAAAAAUCGGGCG